Molecule: transfer-messenger RNA, 401 nt
Filed under: Prevotella sp.
Lineage: Bacteria; Pseudomonadati; Bacteroidota; Bacteroidia; Bacteroidales; Prevotellaceae
Also listed under: 2 other names
Rfam family: transfer-messenger RNA
About the family: Bacterial tmRNA, also known as 10Sa RNA or SsrA, is named for its dual tRNA and mRNA-like properties.
Source: RNAcentral
GGGGUUGACUGGAUUUGACAGCAGACGAGAUGGUACGUAAGCACGCGGAGCCUCGAUGGCUAGCUCCUAAAUCUGAGUGAUCAAAAUUUUAAUUGGCGAAAACAACUACGCUCUCGCUGCCUAAUCGAAGUACAGUAGAUUACUGGCUUAAUCCCGUCACUAGGUGAUGGGACGAGACAUCGCUCAGGAGCUCUUUUUCCGAACCAUCCUGAUCAAGCGGUGCAGAUCAAGUCGGAAAUAGCCAGUGGCGGCCUCGAGCCGCUGGUGAAGAUUUAGAGGAUAAGGCGACAGUUGGUGGUCUGGGUCUUGCUGUCGCUCGAAAAUCGAAGGCCAGAAUAAGCGUGUAGAAAGCGUAUGGUUUCCCUGUUUGGACGCGGGUUCGACUCCCGCCAGCUCCACUA